Molecule: ribosomal RNA, 379 nt
Filed under: uncultured eukaryote
Lineage: Eukaryota
Description: partial 18S ribosomal RNA
Rfam family: Eukaryotic small subunit ribosomal RNA
Source: RNAcentral
CAAUAGCGUAUAUUAAAGUUGCUGCAGUUAAAAAGCUCGUAGUUGCAUUUCCGAGGCAAGGGAUUAGUCCGACCUUUGGUGGGUAUUUAAUCCUCUUGCCUCGUCCUUGAGUGGUGCUUCUUGGUAUUAAGUUAUCGAGGAGAUAGCCGCUCAUCGUUUACUGUGAGAAAAUUAGAGUGUUCAAAGCAGGCUUAUGCCGUUGAAUAUAUUAGCAUGGAAUAAUAAGAUAGGACCUCGGUACUAUUUUGUUGGUUUGAGAACCAAGGUAAUGAUGAAUAGGGACAGUUGGGGGUAUUCGUAUUCAGUUGUCAGAGGUGAAAUUCUUAGAUUUACGGAAGACGAACUACUGCGAAAGCAUUUACCAAGGAUGUUUUCAUUA